Molecule: transfer RNA, 71 nt
Filed under: Aspidoscelis tigris
Lineage: Eukaryota; Metazoa; Chordata; Lepidosauria; Squamata; Teiidae
Description: tRNA-Ile
Source: RNAcentral
GGAAAUGUGCCCGAGAAUUUAAGGAUUACUUUGAUAGAGUAAAAUACAGGGACACCAUAACCCUCAUUUCC